This 475-nucleotide ribosomal RNA is filed under the name uncultured bacterium. Its description in RNAcentral is "bacterial SSU rRNA". It matches the Rfam family "Bacterial small subunit ribosomal RNA", at positions 1 to 507 of the family's 1533-position model. The record is from RNAcentral.
AGUACAGACGAGUUUGAUCCUGGCUCAGAGCGAACGCUAGCGGCGGGCUUAACACAUGCAAGUCGGGCGGAGAGCUUCGGCUCUCAGCGGCGAACGGGUGAGUAACACGUAGGUCACGUACCCUUUGAUGGGGAAUAACCUAGGGAAACCUGGGCUAAUACCGCAUAUGUCCUUCGGGAUGAAAGCCUUCGGGCGUCAGAGGAUCGGCCUGCGGCCCAUUAUUUAAUCCUAGUUGGUAGGGUAAUGGCCUACCAAGGGUACGAUGGGUAGCUGGUCUGAGAGGAUGAUCAGCCACACUGGAACUGAGACACGGUUCAGACUCCUACGGGAGGCAGCAGUGGGGAAUAUUGGACAAUGGGCGAAAGCCUGAUCCAGCCACGCCGCGUGGGUGAUGAAGGCCUUCGGGUUGUAAAGCCCUGUCGGGAGGGACGAAUCAAUGACGGUACCUCCCAAGAAAGCACCGGCUAACUCCGUG